This 220-nucleotide long non-coding RNA is filed under the name Gossypium barbadense (sea-island cotton). RNAcentral describes it as "long non-coding RNA (GBAR_LNC000857)". The record is from RNAcentral. Lineage: Eukaryota; Viridiplantae; Streptophyta; Magnoliopsida; Malvales; Malvaceae.
AAGUGCUCAUCCUGGACGAAUCAGAAAUGUACAAUUUUAAUUAAGUGUUUAUUACUUUAGAUACCACAACCAAGAUCUUAUUUUGGAAAAAAAAUUUGAAACUCUGUUUUCCCUAAAUUUAUUUUUUGUUGCUAUUUCCAAACCUGAUGUUGAGACCCUCUUUAAAUCGAGUUUUGGAAAAUGGGAAUCGACUUUAAGAAAAACGAAAACGGGAGUCGCC